UACGUAGGGGGCAAGCGUUGUCCGGAUUUACUGGGCGUAAAGCGCGUGUAGGCGGUCCGGUAAGUCCGCUGUGAAAGUCGGGGGCUCAACCCUCGGAUGCCGGUGGAUACUGUCGGGCUUGAGUACGGAAGAGGCGAGUGGAAUUCCUGGUGUAGCGGUGAAAUGCGCAGAUAUCAGGAGGAACACCAAUUGCGAAGGCAGCUCGCUGGGACGUUACUGACGCUGAGACGCGAAAGCGUGGGGAGCAAACAGG
RNAcentral lists this ribosomal RNA (253 nucleotides) under uncultured bacterium. RNAcentral describes it as "partial 16S ribosomal RNA". It matches the Rfam family "Bacterial small subunit ribosomal RNA", at positions 524 to 776 of the family's 1533-position model. The record is from RNAcentral.